Molecule: ribosomal RNA, 460 nt
Filed under: uncultured bacterium
Lineage: Bacteria
Description: partial 16S ribosomal RNA
Rfam family: Bacterial small subunit ribosomal RNA
Source: RNAcentral
CCUACGGGAGGCUGCAGUGAGGAAUAUUGGUCAAUGGGCGAUAGCUUGAACCAGCGAAGUAGCGUGAAGGAUGACUGCCCUAUGGGUUGUAAACUUCUUUUUUAUGGGAAUAAAGUGCAGUAUGUAUACUGCUUUGCAUGUACCUUAUGAUUAAGGAUCGGCUAACUCCGGGACAGCCGCCGCGGUAAUAUGGAGGAUCCGAGCGUUAUCCGGAUUUAAUGGGUUGAAAGGCAUCGUAGGCGGGUUGUUAAGUCAGUUGUGAAAGUCUGCGGCUCAACCGUAAAAUUGCAGUUGAUACUGGCAUCCUUGAGUACAGUAGAGGUAGGCGGAAUUCGAGGUGUAGCGGUGAAAUGCUUAGAUAUAACGAAGAACACCGAUUGCGAAGGCAGCCUGCUGGACUGUAACUGACGCUGAUGCACGAAAGUGUGGGGAUCAAACAGGAUUAGAUACCCGAGUAGUC